This 254-nucleotide ribosomal RNA is filed under the name uncultured bacterium. RNAcentral's name for it is "partial 16S ribosomal RNA". It matches the Rfam family "Bacterial small subunit ribosomal RNA", at positions 524 to 776 of the family's 1533-position model. The record is from RNAcentral.
GACAGAGGGUGCAAACGUUGUUCGGAAUUACUGGGCGUAAAGCGUGUGUAGGCUGCUCUGCAAGUCGGGUGUGGAAAGCCCUGGGCUCAACCUAGGAAGUGCAUUCGAAACUGCAGAGCUCGAGUCCUGGAGAGGAAGGCGGAAUUCUCGGUGUAGAGGUGAAAUUCGUAGAUAUCGAGAGGAACACCGGUGGCGAAGGCGGCCUUCUGGACAGUGACUGACGCUGAGACACGAAAGCGUGGGGAGCAAACAGG